GGGGAUAUAGCACAGAUGGGAGUGCGUUCGGUUCGCAUCCGAGAGGUCGAGGGUUCGAGUCCCUUUAUCUCCA
RNAcentral lists this transfer RNA (73 nucleotides) under Clostridiales bacterium. RNAcentral describes it as "tRNA-Ala". It matches the Rfam family "tRNA". From Rfam's summary of the family: Transfer RNA (tRNA) molecules are approximately 80 nucleotides in length. Their secondary structure includes four short double-helical elements and three loops (D, anti-codon, and T loops). Further hydrogen bonds mediate the characteristic L-shaped molecular structure. tRNAs have two regions of fundamental functional importance: the anti-codon, which is responsible for specific mRNA codon recognition, and the 3' end, to which the tRNAs corresponding amino acid is attached (by aminoacyl-tRNA synthetases). tRNAs cope with the degeneracy of the genetic code in two manners: having more than one tRNA (with a specific anti-codon) for a particular amino acid; and 'wobble' base-pairing, i.e. permitting non-standard base-pairing at the 3rd anti-codon position. Lineage: Bacteria; Bacillati; Bacillota; Clostridia; Eubacteriales. The record is from RNAcentral.